Molecule: ribosomal RNA, 258 nt
Filed under: uncultured Actinomycetales bacterium
Lineage: Bacteria; Bacillati; Actinomycetota; Actinomycetes; Actinomycetales
Description: partial 16S ribosomal RNA
Rfam family: Bacterial small subunit ribosomal RNA
Source: RNAcentral
CGCUUUUGUGGGGUGCUCGAGUGGCGAACGGGUGAGUAACACGUGAGUAACCUGCCCUUGACUUUGGGAUAACUUCAGGAAACUGGGGCUAAUACCGGAUAGGAGCUCCCGCUGCAUGGUGGGGGUUGGAAAGUUUCGGCGGUUGGGGAUGGACUCGCGGCUUAUCAGCUUGUUGGUGGGGUAGUGGCUUACCAAGGCUUUGACGGGUAGCCGGCCUGAGAGGGUGACCGGCCACAUUGGGACUGAGAUACGGCCCAG